RNAcentral lists this ribosomal RNA (566 nucleotides) under uncultured bacterium. Its description in RNAcentral is "bacterial SSU rRNA". It matches the Rfam family "Bacterial small subunit ribosomal RNA", at positions 335 to 916 of the family's 1533-position model. The record is from RNAcentral.
ACUCCUACGGGAGGCAGCAGUAGGGAAUAUUGGUUAAUGUGCGAAAGCGCGAACCAGCAACGCCGCGUGUGCGAUGAAGGCCUUCGGGUCGUAAAGCACUUUUUGCAGGGAAGAGGAAGGACGGUACCUGCAGAAUAAGUCUCGGCUAACUACGUGCCAGCAGCCGCGGUAAAACGUAGGAGACGAGCGUUAUCCGGAUUUACUGGGCGUAAAGCGCGUGCAGGCGGCAUGGCAAGUUGGAUGUGAAAGCUCCCGGCUUAACUGGGAGAGGUCGUUCAAUACUGCCAGGCUUGAGAGUGGUAGAGGGAAGCGGAAUUCCGGGUGUAGUGGUGAAAUGCGUAGAUAUCCGGAGGAACACCAGUGGCGAAAGCGGCUUCCUGGCCCAUUUCUGACGCUCAGACGCGAAAGCUAGGGUAGCAAACGGGAUUAGAGACCCCGGUAGUCCUAGCCGUAAACGAUGUGAACUUGGCGUUGGCGGGUUUAAAUCCGUCAGUGCCGUAGCUAACGCGAUAAGUUCACCGCCUGGGGACUACGGCCGCAAGGUUAAAACUCAAAGGAAUUGACGG